RNAcentral lists this long non-coding RNA (1100 nucleotides) under Bactrocera tryoni. RNAcentral's name for it is "uncharacterized LOC120779650". Lineage: Eukaryota; Metazoa; Arthropoda; Insecta; Diptera; Tephritidae. The record is from RNAcentral.
AUUUUCUUAAAAUUUAUGGAAAAGUUGUCCCAAAAAUAUUGGUUAAAUAUAUAACUUUAAUAUAUUUUCAAAAUAAAAUCGUUUUAUUUUAACAUAUAUUCUUAAAGAUGAGAACAAUAUGAGCAAAUACAUGAAAAAUUAAGUUUUUUAUUUAUGCCUCUUUUUAACUUACCACAAGUUAAUAAAUGUUCACCACAGAAAAAUGUUACGAACAAAUAAGCAACCAUGCCGAAUAGUGGGGUCCAGAUUAUGCUCAUUCACAGUCAUAUUUACAUUUUUGCCGUCGCAUUGCUAGAAUCAGCAGAGAAGCUAGUGUAGAACGUUUGAUUAUUUGUUUGCCUUAAACGGUAGUCCCAAACCAAUUAGCUUUGUGCUUGAGGGUGGAAGCAACUUUUUGAAGAGCAAAUACUACUGUGAGCACAUUCGGAGGUUUAUCAAGCUGUUGGACCAAAGCGUUACCAGAUGAGCGAAUUAGUGGAACAGAGCCAUCGUGUUAUGCGCAAAGAUGAAAAUUGGUAGCGAUACCGACGUUAUGACAUGCGUUGGGAUCCAACUUUCCUGUUGAAAGCCAAGUUCACUGAGCUUAUCUGUCCUGAACAACCUAUUGGUGAGCUGCAUUUGAAACGUACCGAUGUCGUUUGGAUGUACAAUUGACCUCCAUAGAAGAGCAAACACCAUGGAAAUUGUGACCAUAUCGUGCUGCGCAAUAUUAUGAUGCCGAAUUGGGAGAGUGGGAGGAACCAGCUCCACCAAAACGGAAAGAACAUCGGGAAGAGCUACGUAUGUUCGCAUAAAACUACUAUAAUGGCAACAACUCUAACAACAGCCAAGCAAAUAAUAAAAACACUCAUCAAAUGAAAGUUGGUGGCGUUGGUGGCCAAGCAGCGAUUUAAAAAGUGGACAAUUCGUACAAUUCGUCUUUACAUCAAGUGAAUUAUGUAUGUUCGAUUAUGAACGAUGUGGAAAUUGAUAAUUAAGCUUUAAAAAACAAGUAAAUGUUAUUUGGUUAAUAAUGAACCGCUAUUGAAAAUUAAGGAAUUUGAGUUGAGUUAAUUUCAAAUGGAAUAUGUGUACUUCGAACAAUCGGUGUAUUUGUAUAA